GACGAACGCUGGCGGCGUGCUUAACACAUGCAAGUCGAACGGAAAGGCCCUGCUUUUGUGGGGUGCUCGAGUGGCGAACGGGUGAGUAACACGUGAGUAACCUGCCCUUGACUUUGGGAUAACUUCAGGAAACUGGGGCUAAUACCGGAUAGGAGCUCCUGCUGCAUGGUGGGGGUUGGAAAGUUUCGGCGGUUGGGGAUGGACUCGCGGCUUAUCAGCUUGUUGGUGGGGUAGUGGCUUACCAAGGCUUUGACGGGUAGCCGGCCUGAGAGGGUGACCGGCCACAUUGGUACUGAGAUACGGCGCAGACGCGUACGGGAGGCAGCAGGGGGGAAUAUUGCACAAUGGGCGGAAGCCUGAGGCAGCAACGCCGCGUGCGGGAUGACGGCCUUCGGGUGGUAAACCGCUGUCGCCUGUGACGAAGCGUGAGUGACGGUAAUGAGUAAAGAAGCACCGGCUAACUACGUG
RNAcentral lists this ribosomal RNA (468 nucleotides) under uncultured bacterium. Its description in RNAcentral is "partial 16S ribosomal RNA". It matches the Rfam family "Bacterial small subunit ribosomal RNA", at positions 28 to 507 of the family's 1533-position model. The record is from RNAcentral.